ACCUGGUUGAUCCUGCCAGUAGUCAUAUGCUUGUCUCAAAGAUUAAGCCAUGCAAGUGUAAGUUCACGUCACGAUUAAGAACGGGCGAAACCGCGAAUGGCUCAGGAACCGGACCUAAUCCUCGGGACCGUAUUCCUCCACGGAGGGAAGUGGAUAACUGUGGUAAUUCUAGAGCUAAUACAUGCAACUAAAGUCUCGAUCUUCGUUCGGUUAGGUUUAGUUGAGAAAUGUGUCGAUUGUGAUUCGCUUCGUCUGCACGUACGCACGUACAACUAACUACACACACACACACACACGCGCGCGCACUUCUUUCGUUACGAAAAUGUAUGAUGUCGAGCAUUCGUCUCUGUCAUUGUACCGCCUUUUGUUCGUUGUCGUCGUCGUUGUUGUUGUUGUUGUUGUUGUUGUUGUUGUUUGUUGUCGUCGUCGUCUCGUUUGUGUUAUUAUUAUCGCCCUCUUAACUUUCCUCCGUACGACGCCUUUGAUCGCGGCGCAACAUAUUAGACUGAGACCGAUGCGUUUUGUUGGUCGUCGAAGUGACGCGAGUACGCACAGGCACGCACACGACGUCACACGCACGCCGCCGUCGUCACACGUCGGCACACACAUACAUUUUUGUUUUGUUGUAGUUGCUGGUGGUGGUGGUGGUGGUGUUGUCGUUGCUUGGUCGACGUGUUGCGUCUUUAAGGUUCGCGUGCGCGCGUUCUCUUUUCGUCGCAUCCGACGCGCCCGCUUUUGGUGACUCUGGAUAACACAAUUGUCGAUCGCUAUGGGUCUUUUGUACCUGGCGACGGGUCCCCCGAGGGUCCGCCCUAUCAACUGUCGACGGUCGGAUAAUUGCCUACCGUGGUUACAACGGGUAACGGGGAAUCGGGGUUCGAUUCCGGAGAGGGAGCAUGCGAAACGGCUACCACAUCCAAGGAAGGCAGCAGGCGCGCAAAUUACCCACUCCCGGCACGGGGAGGUAGUGACGAAAAAUAACGACGCGGGACUCUGUCGAGGCCCCGCGAUCGGAAUGGGUACACUUCAAAUCGGUUAACGAGUAUCAACCGGAGGGCAAGUCUGGUGCCAGCAGCCGCGGUAAUUCCAGCUCCGGUAGCGUAUAUUAAACUUGUUGCGGUUAAAAAGCUCGUAGUCGGAACUCGGGUCUAAAAAAAAACGUAGUAAAAUACGUUCGGGGCGUCGGCACCGUCGUUCGAGUCCGAACUUCGGUUGGUUUUUUAUCCGUACGCACACCCGGCCCUAUCCGCCGGUACGGACGAAGGAAGGCCAUUCGCGGAAAGAAAUGUGUUUCGGUCUUAGAUUUUCUUUUUCUUGUCGUUUAUUUUUUUUGUUUUUUAUUUUUUUUCCGUUUUAAUUUUGUUGUUGAAUUUCAAUGUUCGAAAUAAUAAUAAUAUAUAUAUUUUUUUUUGUUUUCUUUUGUGUAGCUUUUUAAUACGACCAUCGCGCAAUUAGAAAAAGAAAGAAGGAACGAACGAACGAAUGAAUUAACAAAUUAAACUAAACUAAACUCAACAAAUUAACGCGCGAACGAUUGAAUUACGAACGAUCGAACUGAAAUGAAGGAGAGAGAUUAAUUUUUUUGGGAAAAAAAAAAUUAUAAACGAUGAUUUCUAAAUUAAACGAUAAUAACGAAUUAUAUUAUUAUUAUAGGCAGAGGAGUGUUUUUGGAGAGAGAGAUAUAUAUAUAAAUUACAAAAUUAAAGCGUGCGCGAGUGUACGCGUCUGCGUGUAUCUAAUUCGGUAAUUUUUGUUUGUUGUUGUUGUUGUUGUUGUUGUUGGUGGUAAUUUCGUAGUUUUGGUUUUAUUUUUGUUGUUGUUGUUGUUGGUUUUUGGGUUUGUGUUGUUUUUUUUGUCUUUUGUUUUGCUUUGCGUUGGUGUGUGUGCGUGCGUUGGUGUUUCGAUUGCAUUGAAGAAUAGAGGAGAAGAAGGAGAAGGACGAGGAUGAUGUAGGAAUCUUUCUUACAUUCUUUUCCCUCGUCUCAAUGUCUCUUUUUUUUUUUUUUUUUCUUUCCUUUUGCAUUCUUACGUUAACGCAAUUUUUCAUCGCCAGCCUAAACUUUUUUUCAAAAAAACAACUACCAUUACACCACUUCUACUACUAUUAUUAUUACUACUAUUUACUACUUACUACUAAUACUACUACUUAUUACUACUACUUACUACUACUUAUUACCGUCGCUUGGUCACGUAGUGCGUCCCCCCGUUUUUGUUUUUUUUUUUGUUCUUUUUCUUCUUUCUCUCUUUCUUCUUUUCCGUUUUAAUUAUUAUUUUUCGUUUCGUUUCUUUUUUUUUUUAUUCGUUUUUUUCUUCCCUUAUUUUUUUUUUUUUCUUUUUCUUCGGCCGCCGUAUUCGUCGUUUUGUUGUUGUUGUUGUUGUUGUUCUUGUUGUUGUUCUUGUUGUUGUUCUUCUUCAAUUAACUUCUAUUAUUUUUUUUUUAUUUUUCGUAAUGGAAAUUAUCGUGUUGAAAACAAUAAUACUAGAGAGAAAAAAUUUCAAAAAAAAAAAAAAAAUUUUGUUUAAAAAACGAAUAAAGAAUGACGAUAAUAAAGUAAAUAUAGAAUUGGAAAAAAACAAAUAUAUAUAACAAAGAAAGAAACGAUCAAAACAAGAAAAAACAAAAAAAAAUCUGAUAUAGUCGAAACGAACGCGUUUUGGUAAAACGGAAUUCAAAACUUCGUGCCCUUCGUUCGAUUCCUCCGAGGGUGCUCUUUACCGAGUGUCCGAGGCGGCCGGUACGUUCACUUUGAAAAAAUUAGAGUGCUCAGAGCGAGCUUUGUUCGGCUUGCAUACGAUAAGCAUGGAAUGAUAGAAAAGGGCCUCGUCCACGUCUAUCGGUCUCCGUUUACGACGAGGCAAUGAUCGAAGGGAGCGGUCGGGGCCACUCGUAUUGCGACGUUAGAGGUGAAAUUCUUGGAUCGUCGCAAGACGCACUGCAGCGAUGGCGUGUGGCAAGCACGUUUUCCUCGAUCAAGAGCGAAAGUCGGAGGUUCGAAGACGAUCAGAUACCGUCGUAGUUCCGACCGUAAACGAUGCCGACUGGCGAUCCGCCGGCGUUCGCUUCGAUGACCCGGCGGGUAGCCUGCGGGAAACCAGAGUUGGUUCCGGGGGGAGUAUGGUUGCAAAAUCGAAACUUAAAGGAAUUGACGGAAGGGCACCACCAGGAGUGGAGCCUGCGGCUUAAUUUGACUCAACACGGGAAAACUCACCCGGUCCGGACACCGGUAGGAUUGACAGAUCGAUAGCUCUUUCUCGAUUCGGUGGGUGGUGGUGCAUGGCCGUUCUUAGUUGGUGGAGCGAUCCGUCUGGUUGAUUCCGAUAACGAACGAGACUCCGGCCUGCUAACUAGCGCGCCGAUUAGUGCUAGAUAUAUACAAUAUUACACCAGCAGCAUCAGCGUUUGUUCGCUUGGGCGUCGCCUGUGUUCGCGAUUGUUUGUGGUCUUUAUAUAAUGCGAUUGCUUACGUCGUCGUUUUCGUUGCUGCUUUGUGUUUUGUGCUUGUUUUAUUUCAUUUUGUGUUGUCGAAAUUUUAUUAUUUCUCCUCUCCUCUCGACAGCAGCGUCGUAUAUAUAUAUAUAUAUAUAUCUAUUUCACGCGACUCACACACACUCACACGUUUACGACAUAUCAUUUGUUUGUGAGCGAGCGCGUCGUGUUCGUGUUUUUUUUGUUAUUAUUAUUAUUAUUAUUUAUACGUGUCUAUGUUGUUGUUGUGUUGGUUGGUGUGAUAUUUUUUUUUUUCUUCGCUCUCUUUGUUCCUUUUACUGGUACCUUUCACUUUGUUGGCACGCAACGCGCGUUGUUGUCGUAUAUUUUUUGUACCACCUACAACUACGUGUGCGCGUCGGCGUGCGUUCCGGUGUCGAGCGUGGUUGUGUUUGUGGUUGUGUAAAGGCGUAUAUACGCGGCCAGUCGGUUGCUUCCUGCGCUUCUUAGAGGGACGGGUGGCAGAAAGCCACACGAGGCGGAGCGAUAACAGGUCUGUGAUGCCCUUAGAUGUCCGGGGCUGCACGCGCGCUACACUGGAGAUAUCAGCGGGGACUACCACCCGGCCCGAAAGGGUUGGGAAACCUCUCAACCAUCUCCCGUGAUAGGGAUCGGGGCUUGUAAUUAACCCCGUGAACGAGGAAUUCCCGGUAGGCGCGGGUCAACAACCCGCGUCGAUCACGUCCCUGCCCUUUGUACACACCGCCCGUCGCUACUACCGAUCGAACGGUCCGGUGAGGUCCUCGGAUCUGGCCGACGACGCCGACACUGUCUUCUAUUACGUUCGUUGGCUAUAUUUUUUUUUUGGUUUCAUAAUUUGCUGCAUACAAUGCAAUCUCCAAUUUCAUUAGCAAGCAUCAUCAUCAUCAUUAUCAUCAUCAUCGUCCUCCUCCCACACAUUCCGUCGUCGUCGUCGUCUUCUUCUUCUAACUUGUCAUCAACUAACUAUCAUCGUCAUUAGCAGCAGCAGCAACGCUAUCGCAACAUCGCUUACGCUCGUCUUUUAUAUUAUAUCUUUUUUGUGUCACGGCUACUGUUAACUACUGCUAAACGACUUCUGUGUUAAAACGACCAUUGCUACUAGGAUUACGAUGACGACUUCUCCGUCGCCGACGCUACCGCCGCCGCCGCCGCGUUGCUUUCAUACGUCUCUCAACUCUUGCAAUUUUUUUUUGUUUUUUGUUGUUGACGUUGUGGUUGUGUUGUUGUUGUUGUGUCGUUGUGUCGUUGAGGUUGUUUGUCGUUGUCGUUGUCUUUGUCGCUGCUGUUGUUGUUUUUUUCUCGUUGUCCUUGUCGUUUUGUAGUCUUCAUUGGGGUUGUUUUAUUUUUUUCGUCCUGUUCUUGUUGUUGUUGUUGUUGUUGUUGUUUUUGGUUGUUUAUGUUGUUGUUGUUGGUGGUGGUUGGGUUGUUGUUGUUGGUGAUGAUUGGUUUUUUGGUUGGUGGUCGUCGUUUGUGUUGGUAGUGGUAGUGGUGUUUUGUUGGUGUUUUUGGUUUGUUUUCGUUUGUCGGUGUCGUUGUGUAGUCUUUUGUAAUUUGCCUUCCGUAUAAAGACGUCGUCGUCUGAUGGCCCGGAGAAGACGACCGAACCCGAUCGUUUAGAGGAAGUAAAAGUCGUAACAAGGUUUCCGUAGGUGAACCUGCGGAAGGAUCAUUA
RNAcentral lists this ribosomal RNA (5141 nucleotides) under Opisthoteuthis massyae. Its description in RNAcentral is "partial small subunit ribosomal RNA". The stretch from base 1 to 4350 matches the Rfam family "Eukaryotic small subunit ribosomal RNA". Lineage: Eukaryota; Metazoa; Mollusca; Cephalopoda; Octopoda; Opisthoteuthidae. The record is from RNAcentral.